This 468-nucleotide ribosomal RNA is filed under the name uncultured bacterium. Its description in RNAcentral is "partial 16S ribosomal RNA". It matches the Rfam family "Bacterial small subunit ribosomal RNA", at positions 28 to 507 of the family's 1533-position model. The record is from RNAcentral.
GACGAACGCUGGCGGCGUGCUUAACACAUGCAAGUCGAACGGAAAGGCCCUGCUUUUGUGGGGUGCUCGAGUGGCGAACGGGUGAGUAACACGUGAGUAACCUGCCCUUGACUUUGGGAUAACUUCAGGAAACUGGGGCUUAUACCGGCUAGGAGCUCCUGCUGCAUGGUGGGGGUUGGAAAGUUUCGGCGGUUGGGGAUGGACUCGCGGCUUAUCAUCUUGUUGGUGGGGUAGUGGCUUACCAAGGCUUUGACGGGUAGCCGGCCUGAGAGGGUGACCGGCCACAUUGGGACUGAGAUACGGCCCAGACUCCUACGGGAGGCAGCAGUGGGGAAUAUUGCACAAUGGGCGGAAGCCUGAUGCAGCAACGCCGCGUGCGGGAUGACGGCCUUCGGGUUGUAAACCGCUUUCGCCUGUGACGAAGCGUGAGUGACGGUAAUGGGUAAAGAAGCACCGGCUAACUACGUG